Long non-coding RNA from Erpetoichthys calabaricus (reedfish), 1069 nucleotides. RefSeq lists it as uncharacterized. The transcript has 2 exons. NCBI's taxonomy places the organism in Eukaryota, Metazoa, Chordata, Cladistia, Polypteriformes, Polypteridae. The record is from RefSeq and is a predicted model, not a curated record.
CGUUUUUUUUACUUUGUGACACGAGUCCCCAUCCGAUUUGUCUCGCGCACGUGCUCUCUGCUUAAUUAAAAUUCAUUUCACGACGCUGCCUGAUUUGUUCUGCGCAUGUCGAAUGUUUUACGACGCACGUCACUCGUCGGGUUUGACUUGUACUUGUGAGUCAUUUUUGUGUUGUCGUUUAACUCUGUCUGUAAGUGGACUUGUUACUGGAAAAGAUGGCAACUUUUGAAUUUUAUAACGUCAUGGAAGAUGUGUCGCCUGAAAAAUUUAACUCCAGUCGAAUGAAGAGGGAGCGAAAUGAAAUGCGACGUGUGUCUGAACUUUAUAAUGGAUAUGUACAGCUUUUUGAUGCCCGGUGGUAACCAACCUUCCAUGUGGCUGAACAGAUGCCAGUGUACCUAAAUUCUGAGACACAAUUCGAUGUUCUUUUCUUCUGCUUUUAAGAUUCCCAAUUCGAGAUGAUGUGCAGUUCAUAUUAGAUUUGCUAUUUCUACAGGUAAGACUACUGAGGCUUCCAGUUUCAGAAGUAAUUUGUGCACAAUUCCUGCAAAGCCUCCCCAUAUUUAUUAUUUGAUCUGUAAUAUUUUACUGCCUUGAAUACUGUACUGUAUAUCUGCUUACUCUGUCCAGUAACUAACACAGCUUUUUAAUUUUAGACAGAAAGCCUCAGAGUGUGAAUCCUCGCAAACACAAAGACUGAGGCAUAUCAGUCCCAGCAGUCACUAAACAGGGAUGUUGUUCCGUUUUGCAAAAUAACAUUUAUUUUCUUACGUUACUGUACUUUGUUGUUGGAUUUUGAAAGAACCAAGACUUAAUUUUAAAUUAAAACAAAACUAAGGCAGGAGUGAAAAACGAAGAUGUUUUCAUGUAAGUAGUGACACCUGAGCACAACACAUUAGAAGUUCAGAUAUACAGAGAUUAUAACACAAUGUCUACUGUAUGCGUAAUAUAAAAGGAAAAAAAUGAUGCUACACAUAAGAACAGUUAAGUUGGGGUUCUUUUAAAAUCCAACAAAAAAACACAAUAAUUAAGAAUAAUAUUAUUAGUUAGACUUUACUCUAAGCAGACC